This 462-nucleotide ribosomal RNA is filed under the name Georissa kobelti. RNAcentral's name for it is "partial 16S ribosomal RNA". It matches the Rfam family "Bacterial large subunit ribosomal RNA", at positions 1849 to 2591 of the family's 2925-position model. Lineage: Eukaryota; Metazoa; Mollusca; Gastropoda; Cycloneritida; Hydrocenidae. The record is from RNAcentral.
UGGGUCCAACCUGCCCAGUGAACUUUUAACGGCCGCAGUACCCUGACUGUGCAAAGGUAGCAUAAUAAUUUGUCUUAUAAUUGAAGACUAGAAUGAAUGGUUAAAUGUAAAUAAACCUGUCUCUAUUGCAAAAUUAAAAAUUAAUCUAUUGGUUCAAAAGCCAUCAUUUAAUAAAUAGACGAGAAGACCCUAUUGAGCUUAAUUUUUACUUAUACUUAAUCAAUUUACUUAUAAUGAUAAAAUUUUGUUGGGGCGACAAAGGAUUUUACUUAGCUUCCUUUAGAAUUUUAAUAUUAAAAUUAAAUCGAUCCGUUUAUUACGAUCAAAUAACAAGUUACCAUAGGGAUAACAGCAUAAUUCUUUUUAAGAGCCCAAAUCGAAAAAAGAGUUUGUGACCUCGAUGUUGGACUAAGGUAAUUAUAAAGCGCAGCCGCUUUUUAAAAUAGUCUGUUCGACUAAUAA